Molecule: ribosomal RNA, 408 nt
Filed under: uncultured bacterium
Lineage: Bacteria
Description: partial 16S ribosomal RNA
Rfam family: Bacterial small subunit ribosomal RNA
Source: RNAcentral
GACGAACGCUAGCGGCGUGCUUAACACAUGCAAGUCGAGCGAAGCGGCGGAUGGGUGAGUAACGCGUGGGUAACCUGCCCUUAAGUCUGGGAUACGAUUUGGUAACAGAUGCUAAUACCGGAUACUAAAGGAUGGACCUGCGAUGCAUUAGCUAGUUGGUAAGGUAACGGCUUACCAAGGCGAUGAUGCAUAGGCGAGUUGAGAGGCGAGUCGGCCACAUUGGGACGGAGACGCGGCCCAGACUCCUACGGGAGGCAGCAGUAGGGAAUCUUCCACAAUGGACGAAAGGCUGAUCGGGCAACGCCGCGUGAGUGAAGAAGGUUUGCGGAUCGUAAAGCUCUGUUGUUGGUGAAGCGGUAUUCAACCAGAAAGGCACGGCUAACUACGUGCCAGCAGCCGCGGUAAUUC